AGCUUUUCCCAGCCAAAGGAGAGAAGGGAAGGAUGAGCCCCCAACUUCCUCCUUCCUGGGUGUGGCUUCCUUCACAACCCAGACUCUUGGCAUCCUCUUGUUCACUCCCACCCACCCAGCUUGUUGUCAAACCUUUUCGCUAAUGAAGACAUAAAUAGCUCACAAUGCUUGACAGGAGGCUUCUCUUAGCAGUUCUGUGUUUUCACCUGGACCACACACUAAAACAAAGGACUAACCCAAGGUAUUUGAGGAGGACUGUGAGCUGGGGGAAGAGAGAUGGUUGGACGGUUGGAGCUUUGGAUGAGUUUGGGUUCCUCCAUAAGCCAACUGAUCAGGAAACCAGCCUGCCAGGGUCAGAGAAAGCCGUCAGGCAGAGAAAUGCAGGUGCUGGCGUGUGGAAAUGAGGCUGGAGUCCCUGGCAUGGAAAGGCAAGGGUCUGUGGGCAGGGCACUGGGGUUCUGCUCAACCUGCUACCAGCUCCCUGGGACUCCUCAAAAUCACAGGCCCUGGAGCUAGGAGUUUCGUCUGAAUGGCGUCCUGCUCAGCCUCACGUUCACCAGCAUGUUUUCCCUUUAGGCUCAAAUAGUUAAAAGAACAAAAAGUGAUAUUGCAUCCAAAUUGGGGCACUGUUCAGUGUGUGUGUCUAUGUGUGUCGGGGUGGUGGUGGUUAUGUAACUGUCUUCUAAACACUGGAGAAAAU
This 700-nucleotide long non-coding RNA is filed under the name Equus caballus (horse). RNAcentral describes it as "lncRNA (ENSECAG00000029590.3)". Lineage: Eukaryota; Metazoa; Chordata; Mammalia; Perissodactyla; Equidae. The record is from RNAcentral.